Molecule: transfer RNA, 72 nt
Filed under: Nematostella vectensis (starlet sea anemone)
Lineage: Eukaryota; Metazoa; Cnidaria; Anthozoa; Actiniaria; Edwardsiidae
Rfam family: tRNA
About the family: Transfer RNA (tRNA) molecules are approximately 80 nucleotides in length. Their secondary structure includes four short double-helical elements and three loops (D, anti-codon, and T loops). Further hydrogen bonds mediate the characteristic L-shaped molecular structure. tRNAs have two regions of fundamental functional importance: the anti-codon, which is responsible for specific mRNA codon recognition, and the 3' end, to which the tRNAs corresponding amino acid is attached (by aminoacyl-tRNA synthetases). tRNAs cope with the degeneracy of the genetic code in two manners: having more than one tRNA (with a specific anti-codon) for a particular amino acid; and 'wobble' base-pairing, i.e. permitting non-standard base-pairing at the 3rd anti-codon position.
Source: Rfam by way of RNAcentral
UCCCAUAUUGUCCAGCGGUUAGGAUUUCUGGUUUUCACCCAGACGGCCCGGGUUCGACUCCCGGUAUGGGAA